GAUGAACGCUGACAGAAUGCUUAACACAUGCAAGUCGAUUCGAUUUACCUUCGGGUGUUGAGGAUGGCGGAAGGGUGAGUAACGCGUAAGGAACUUGCCUCUUGGUCUGGGACAACUGUUGGAAACAACAGCUAAUACCGGAUAUGAUGAGAUUCUCGCGUGGGAAACUUAUGAACGCUAGAUGCGCCAAGAGGGAGCCUGGCGUUCCAUUAGCUAGUUGGUGGGGUAACGGCCCACCAAGGCGACGAUGGAUAGCCGGCCUGAGAGGGUGAACGGCCACAAGGGGACUGAGACACGGCCCUUACUCCUACGGGAGGCAGCAGUGGGGAAUAUUGGACAAUGGACCAAAAGUCUGAUCCAGCAAUUCUGUGUGCACGAUGAAGGUCUUCGGAUUGUAAAGUGCUUUCAGUUGGGAAGAAGCAAGUGACGGUACCAACAGAAGAAGCGACGGCUAAAUACGUGCCAGCAGCCGCCGUAA
RNAcentral lists this ribosomal RNA (478 nucleotides) under uncultured bacterium. RNAcentral describes it as "partial 16S ribosomal RNA". It matches the Rfam family "Bacterial small subunit ribosomal RNA", at positions 28 to 523 of the family's 1533-position model. The record is from RNAcentral.